RNAcentral lists this long non-coding RNA (266 nucleotides) under Brassica napus (rape). RNAcentral describes it as "long non-coding RNA (BNAP_LNC007517)". Lineage: Eukaryota; Viridiplantae; Streptophyta; Magnoliopsida; Brassicales; Brassicaceae. The record is from RNAcentral.
GGAGCCUUGCAUAUUUAUGUAGCUUAUAUCCACUUGUACACAUAUUUGGGAAAAUGAUUUUUUUUCUCUUAUUUGUAGUUACAUAUACCCAAUUAUUUAAAAUGGAAUGUAAGCUUUUUGAAAUGAGAUGUAAUAUCUUUCUUUUUGUUGAACUGAUUUCCCUUUUUUCAUUUGUAUAUUUGUGGUAAAUAAAACAUAAUUUUUGUCAACAAAUAAAACAUAAUCUAAUAAUGUUUUUAGCAAAGUUUUGAAUUCCUUAAAACCCU